This 380-nucleotide long non-coding RNA is filed under the name Manihot esculenta (cassava). Its description in RNAcentral is "long non-coding RNA (MESC_LNC010693)". Lineage: Eukaryota; Viridiplantae; Streptophyta; Magnoliopsida; Malpighiales; Euphorbiaceae. The record is from RNAcentral.
UUAGUGUGUGUGAAUCCAUUUCUCCAACUACAAACAAAGCAGCUCAUUGAUUCAAACCAGCACCUUCUACACUUCAAGAAUCACUGUUAGAAAAACAACCACCUUUUUGGUUGUUCAAGCUUUGAUCCUCCUCAAUGCAAGGUAAGCCAAUAAUCUAUACCCCACAAACAUCAAUAGUAAGACACUGACACAGAUUCCAGGGCUAAUUUCCCCUCCAACAUCUUCUUCCAGGAACUUGCAGCUUGCAUUUUCACUGAUUCCAUGGCGGCUGCAGCCCAACAAUGAGGCAAGUUCUUUUCCAUCACCAUAUUGGACAUUGAUAAGCAGCCUAUAGCUGUAAUAUGUAGUUGAAAUGUACUUGAUCCAAGCCAUGCAAGAUG